AUGCUGCCUGCAAUGCAUGUUCCUUUCGCUACUUCGGUUCCUCUACAGAUUUCAUCCACAAGCACUAGGCUUCUCGAUGUGGCUCCGGUUAUUACGGAACGGACCUCGGACAUUUCAAUCUGACAGGGCUAUCAUAAGAUUUCAUAUGCAGCAUAACAGAGUCAAAAUGGGGAAUGAAGGCUGAUUCAGCAGGCACCAUCAAACCACAUAUUCCAAGUAUUGCUGCUGCACAAAUGGAUCGUAGCAAACUUGAUUUUCCGCCACCAUUGGGUCCUGUUAAAAUAAAUAGGGAUUGCAUCUCUAUAGUAUUCUGAACAGCACUGCCUUGAGCAACAUCAAACCAAUAUGGUGAUAAACCAGUAAUUUCCAUUCUGUUGGCAGCAUCUAAUGGUUCUAUAUCCUGCAUGUAACAAAUCAUGUUAAACUUUUUUUACACCUGUAUGAUGAAAGAAAUUAUGAUAGUCCAACCAUCCUCUACUAUUUAUAUGCUAUUACAAUUCUCUAA
This is a long non-coding RNA of Impatiens glandulifera, 505 nucleotides long. RefSeq lists it as uncharacterized. The record is from RefSeq and is a predicted model, not a curated record. The transcript has 2 exons. Lineage: Eukaryota; Viridiplantae; Streptophyta; Magnoliopsida; Ericales; Balsaminaceae.